AGAGCCCAUGCGCGGCGCGGGGGAGGUUGGAGGUCAUCCGAGGCAUCCCCAGGAAGCCCUUGUGAUGUGUCCACCGGCACAAAACCUGAAUUCUUCUCCGUGCUUUCUAAAGAAAUUAUUUAAGUUUUCAUUAAAAUGCAAAAAGAAAGGGUUGGAACUGAGGCCUGAAGUCUGUCUGAAAGGAGCUGUUGCAGAGUAAAUUUGGCUUUCUUAGUGUUAGUUGUUAUUUUUUCCACCAUAUAACAACCACAGGCAAACUGCGGGUAUUGUUACUUAGGGUUUGUUGAAGGCUGACUCAGAACAUUAACCCACAGAAUCAUAGAAUCAUUGAGGUUGGAAAAGACUAAGAUCAGAUAGUCCAACCACCAUCAUACCCACUGAACACGAUCCUUAUACAUGUACGUACAAAGGCUGGACCACAACAUCAGAGGCAUACACUGGCGGAACUGCAGUAGAGACUGAACCUUCCCACCAAAUAUCCUGUUGCAUGUUGUUGCUGUGUGACAGUUGGCAGCAGAAGGGCACUCUGACAAAAUGGCGUCUGACGUGGAAGUGCAUAUGAAACAAAGCUGCGUCACUGAACUCUUCCAUGAGGAAAAUAUGGCACCUAUUGACAGUCAUCAAUAUUUGCUGAACGUUUAUGGAGACCAGACACACAUAAAUCCCUCAGCUUCUUCUGUAUCACUCAUCAAUUGCCCUAAUGGCUUUAUAGUUAAAAUGAGCGGCAACACUUUUACAGUAUUUGAAUGGUUUGCUGCUGCAAAGAUGGCAGACUGAAGAUUUAAAGAUGGAGAUCUCUUACAGGCUUGCUCUGAUUUAGCUUUAAGUAGAUGCCUGGUGAACAGGUAAGCAUUAUUUAAAUAAUGACACUUCAGUAGUGAAUUAACUUUUUCUUGUGCAAUUAAGUAAUAGUCUAUCACAUUGCUCACCUACUAAAUUGUCUUUUUGCUAUCUUCAUUAUUACAUAUUAGUCACCCACAUUAAUUACUCAGGCAAACCAUACAGUGAGUGACUCCUUUCAAGGACCAGGGCUAAAUCCAUUCCAUGCAGCAGCUGAUAGCAUUGGUGAGAAGAGAGGGAAUGGUUAUAAUUGUACUCAGGGAUAUUUCAUACAUUCAGUGUGAUGUGGAAUGAUAAAACUGGAGGGCCUGGCUGAAGUGUGGGUAGCUGCUGCUUGGUGACUGGCUGAUCAUCAGUGUCAAAUGGUGAGCAAUUGCAUUAUGCAUCACUUGUUUUAUAUAUACAUAUGUACAAUUGUUGUUACUGUCAUUAUUGCUCAUGUUAUUGUUUCCCUUCCUUUUCUGCCCUAUUAAACUGUUUUCAUCCCAGCUUAUAAGUUUUGCCUUUUUCUAAUUCUCCCUCCCACAUCCGAAUGUUGGGGAAUGAGUGAACAGCUGCGUGGUACUGAGCUGCCUGACAGGUUAAAU
Molecule: long non-coding RNA, 1427 nt
Organism: Gallus gallus (chicken)
Lineage: Eukaryota; Metazoa; Chordata; Aves; Galliformes; Phasianidae
Exons: 4
Source: RefSeq, a predicted model, not a curated record